This 1000-nucleotide ribosomal RNA is filed under the name Oceanobacillus caeni. Its description in RNAcentral is "bacterial SSU rRNA". It matches the Rfam family "Bacterial small subunit ribosomal RNA", at positions 452 to 1444 of the family's 1533-position model. Lineage: Bacteria; Bacillati; Bacillota; Bacilli; Caryophanales; Bacillaceae. The record is from RNAcentral.
CCUGGACCUUGUUCGGUUACCUAGACGAAAGAAGAGCCCCGCCUAUUACUGCGUCGCCAGCCGGCGGUUAUUACGUAGGUGGGCAACGGUUGUUCCGAUUAUUUGGGGGAAAUCGCUCGCCGGCCGGUGUUUAAUACGGAUGGGAAAGCCCCCCGGGUUCUCCGCGGAGGGGUCAUUGUAAACAGGUGGAAUUGUGGGCAUGAAGAGGAGAGGGGAAUUACCUCUGGAGCGGUGGAAUAAUAGAGAAAUGGAGGAACAACAGUGGCGAAGGCGACUCCCCUCGUCUGUAACAUGAUGAUGAUGAAAGAAAAGCGUGGGGUAGCAAAACAGGAUUAAAUACCCUCGUGGUACCUCCCCGUAAAAGAUGAGUUCUAGGUGUUAGGGGGUUUCCGCCCCUUGUGUGAAGUUAAAGCAUUAACACUCCCGCGGGGAGUGUGGCGUCAAGGGUUUUACUCAAAAGUAUUGACGGGGACCCGCACAAGCGGUGGAGCAUGUGGGUUAAUUUUAAGCAACGCGAAAAACCUUUCCAGGUCUUGACAUCCUUUCGACCUCCCUAGAGAUAGGGAUAUCCCUUCCGGGAAGAAAGUGACAGGUGGUGCAUGGUUGUCGUCAGCUCGUCUUGUGAAAUGUGGGGUUAAGUCCCGCAACGAGCGCAACCCUUGAUCUUUAGUUCCCAGCAUUAAGUUGGGCACUCUAAGGUGACUGCCGGUGACAAACCGGAGGAAGGUGGGGAUGACGUCAAAUCAUCAUGCCCCUUAUGAGUUGGGCUACACACGUGGUACAAUGGAUGGUACCAAGGGCAGCGAAACCGCAAGGUCAAGCAAAUCCCAAAAAACCAUUCUCAGUUCGGAUUGUAGUCUGCAACUCGCCUACAUGAAGCCGGAAUCGCAGUAAUCGCGGAUCAACAAGCCGCGGUGAAUACGUUCCCGGGUCUUGUACACCCCCCCCCUUAAAAGGCCCAGAGAGUUGGUAUCCCCCCAGAAAUCGGGGUGAAGGGGGG